ACCUACAGCCCUACCACCCUGAUCCCUGAAGCUAAGCAAGGCUGAGCUUGUCCAGUACCUGGAAGGGAGACUGCCUAGGAACACUGGGGGCUGUGGGCU
This is a ribosomal RNA of Cercocebus atys (sooty mangabey), 99 nucleotides long. The record is from Ensembl. NCBI's taxonomy places the organism in Eukaryota, Metazoa, Chordata, Mammalia, Primates, Cercopithecidae.